This 465-nucleotide ribosomal RNA is filed under the name Vreelandella stevensii. RNAcentral describes it as "partial 16S ribosomal RNA". It matches the Rfam family "Bacterial small subunit ribosomal RNA", at positions 338 to 795 of the family's 1533-position model. Lineage: Bacteria; Pseudomonadati; Pseudomonadota; Gammaproteobacteria; Oceanospirillales; Halomonadaceae. The record is from RNAcentral.
CCUACGGGAGGCAGCAGUGGGGAAUAUUGGACAAUGGGGGCAACCCUGAUCCAGCCAUGCCGCGUGUGUGAAGAAGGCCCUCGGGUUGUAAAGCACUUUCAGUGAGGAAGAACGCCUGGUGGUUAAUACCCAUCAGGAAAGACAUCACUCACAGAAGAAGCACCGGCUAACUCCGUGCCAGCAGCCGCGGUAAUACGGAGGGUGCGAGCGUUAAUCGGAAUUACUGGGCGUAAAGCGCGCGUAGGUGGCUUGAUAAGCCGGUUGUGAAAGCCCCGGGCUCACCCUGGGAACGGCAUCCGGAACUGUCAAGCUAGGGUGCAGGAGAGGAAGGUAGAAUUCCCGGUGUAGCGGUGAAAUGCGUAGAGAUCGGGAGGAAUACCAGUGGCGAAGGCGGCCUUCUGGACUGACACUGACACUGAGGUGCGAAAGCGUGGGUAGCAAACAGGAUUAGAUACCAUUGUAGUC